RNAcentral lists this long non-coding RNA (302 nucleotides) under Vigna radiata. RNAcentral describes it as "long non-coding RNA (VRAD_LNC014621)". Lineage: Eukaryota; Viridiplantae; Streptophyta; Magnoliopsida; Fabales; Fabaceae. The record is from RNAcentral.
AACAUGUAUUUUCAACCAUCAAAAUCUGUCGAAAACAUUAAAAAUAUGUCGGUAAUGACCUUUUUUUGACUAAUUUUUUACGGACCAAAAUCUAUGGGUAAAAGUGUCAUCAGUAAUAUUUAACGCUGAAAAUUUUUGUGUCCAUAAUUAUUGAAGGAAAAAUACGUCGAUAAUAAUCAAACAAAAAAUCCGUUGGUAAAUUCUGUUAAUAAAGAUAGUGAUCUUGUUCAUAUUCUCCCUCCUCUCUUUGUCUUAUUCUUUCUUUAGUUUUUUUUUCUAUGUUCUCCAUCACCUCCUAAUUU